RNAcentral lists this ribosomal RNA (468 nucleotides) under uncultured bacterium. RNAcentral describes it as "partial 16S ribosomal RNA". It matches the Rfam family "Bacterial small subunit ribosomal RNA", at positions 28 to 507 of the family's 1533-position model. The record is from RNAcentral.
GACGAACGCUGGCGGCGUGCUUAACACAUGCAAGUCGAACGGACAGACCAUGAUUUUGUGGGGUGCUCGAGUGGCGAACGGGUGAGUAAAACGUGAGUAAAAUGCCCUUGUCUUUGUGAUAACUUCAGGAAAAUGCGGCUAAUACAGGGUAGAAGCUCCUGAUGCGUGUUGUGGGUUGGAGAAUUUCGGCGGUUGGGGCUGGACUAGCGGCUUAUCAGCUUGAUGGGGGGGUAGUGGCUUACAAAGGCUUUGAAGGGUAGCCGGCCUGAGAGGGUGACCGGCCUCAUGGCGCCUGAGAGAGGGCCCAGACGGCUAUGUGAGGCAGCAGUGGGGAAUAUUGCACAACGGGCGGAAGUCUGAUGCAGCAGCGCCGCGUGCGGGAUGACGUCUUUCUGGUUGUAAACAGCUGUCGCCUGUGACGAAGCGUGAGUGACGGUAAUGGGUAAAGAAGCACCGGCUAACUACGUG